Molecule: long non-coding RNA, 5225 nt
Organism: Parasteatoda tepidariorum (common house spider)
Lineage: Eukaryota; Metazoa; Arthropoda; Arachnida; Araneae; Theridiidae
Source: RefSeq, a predicted model, not a curated record
GAAAGAAGACAGUAACUGAAGAGCUUGAAUCACGAUAUCAAAGUUUAAAGAAGCCGCUAAAGAAUUUCGGCUUUUUGCGACAAUAAUAUGAUGAAUGAAAUUGAUUAUGUCCAUCAAUUGAACACUGGAUUUCUCCUGAUGAUGGCUGUUACAUCCAAUGAAAAACUCUGUCCCAAUGUCUUUGGAAUUUUCGACAAACUUUUAUAAGAAUUGUAACCACGAAGUUCAUCAAUUGUCUAGCGGAAGCUGGAAGGAUUGCUACCCGAUUGAUACCCUGAGUUGGAUAUGUAUGUAGGAGUGUUUUCAUAUCAUGGGACUUUAACAACUUAAGUACUGAUUUUAUUUUAUUUAAAUGUUUUGACAUCAAGCUUUUAUGAAAACUUUAAACAUCUAGCUUUCAUAAAUUAGUUUUAUGUGCACUGAUUUUUAAUAAUAUGGGCAAAUAAAGUUACUUAGUUACUCCUACCUUGCUAGAUCAGGCAUUAGGUAAUUUCUUUGACAUGCAUUAGUCAAUUAAAAAGUGAUAUUACACAUUAAUUUAUUCUAGUUUUAAUAUUAUAUAUAAUAUGAUACUGUUUGAUAGUGAAAGACUCUUGGAAUUUUAUACCAAUUUUAAACACAUUUAAGAUUCUUAGAAGCGCCAAUUUAAUAAUGAGAUGAAGCUUUUACAGAGCUGUGAUUUUCUUAGACGUCUAUAGUUAAAAUAAUAACGAGCUUAAGAACUUCACUAAAAAUGUUUAUAGACAAACAUCCAACGUCUAAUGUAGUUUUAAAAAGAGUAGGAAGUUCUCUCAUACUCUUGGUGCUCUCUCUCAUUUUUAUAAGUCUCUUAACUUACAUCUAAAGCUCCACUAGUCGUUGAUAUUAUUAAAAUCAACUAUCAUUAAAUCUUGGCAAUCGUUAAAUACUGUUUCCGUCAGUUUUAGAAACUUGAUUUCCCGAUAUUUGCUUGCAAAGUUUUGACUAGUGUCAUCAUAAUCUUAAGAAAAUCGUCUGGGGAUUUCUGCAAUAAAUUUAUUUUAAACAUGGUUUGAGCUUUUUUGUGAUAAACUCAGAAACAGUGAUAUUUGUCCCUUCUUCUUAAGCACACUAAUUGUAAAGAAACAGUGUUUGUAGUAUCAAUAAUCUGUCUAUUUCUCUAGUUGAUUUUUAUUUGUCAAACUACUUUUUUAAUAUCUUAUUUUCAAACUUUUUAAACUUUGGAUGCAUUAUAGCUGAGUUAUACACAAUUGUGAACUUUUCACAAUCGAGUUAUUACUUUCAUGUAGUUGGACACAUUUGAAAAGAAAGGACUCGGCAUUUGCAAUGAGUUUGUUAAAACAUUUUUUUGAGAAUUACCUGAAAUCAAAUUUUAUGUGAAAAAUUUUAUAUUACGUGUUACAAACGUGAGAAUGUUUGAAAAGUCUAAGUCAAUAUAUGUUCAAUUUGUGCAAAAGCACCGGAGAUUCCUCACGGAGGAACUUUUUUAGAAGGGAAAACAUUUUUAGUUCAGUUUUUAAAAGAGGUUGCAACAUUGAAUCAGUUAAAUUUUCAAACUUUAUAGAUUUCUGAGUGUUAGAAGCUUAGAAGGAGAUACGCAACAACAAAAUUUUUCAAAACUGAAUCGGGUUUCUUAUUUUUAUUUUCACGUAGUUUGACAUUGAGUGUUAAAAUUCCUGUCCUAUAUAUAUGAAUUGAAAUUCCUACAUGUGAGAGUAGCUAAGGAAGACCAGAACAUUUUGUAUUAAUGCACGUUUUGGAAGACGUAAGUUUUUCCAACUUUUUUAUAACGUUCUCUUAAAACAACAAUUUCUUUCUUUGCUCAUGACAUUGUAACUUCUUAAAUUGCCAACAGAAAGAAUAUAACUCUCGCCUUCCAAUUAGAUGACCCAGAUUCGAGUAUAACCACGAAGAGUUUUCGCUUCUUUUUAUGUAACGCAAUCGUGAGUUACGCAGACGCUCCUUCAAUAAGUCCUCCGCGAAAGCUAGCUUCUUUUCCCUUGUCUUUUGGGUUGGUAACAAAAUUAUGAGUCUACGAGCCGCAAACUCAAAAGUGGGUCAGCCGUUUAACACCGAAUGUUUAUUUUACUCAAUUAUCUGAAAUAUAUUUUCAUCGCUUUUUUUUCAUUGUUUUAAAAACUUUUCUAAGAAGUAAAUAUAUAAUAAUACCUGCGAAAUAUUUCACAGACACAUAUUAUUGAAAAAUUCUUACCUAAAUUAUUUUUUUCUUUAUCUUCUUCUUAAUUGUGUCAUUUUUUACAUGAAGCAAACAUGAAAUAGCUACUGAUCACUCGUCAUACUCUAAGAAUUAAAUAUACAACAAUUAUUACUCUGAAAUUUCCCUUUAAUCUUCUUCUUAAUUGUUUCAUAAAUCUUUACGUCAUUUAAUUUUUGGUGCUUCAAUACUAAGAUGUUCUAAGUAAAGUACUAAAUGGAAAAAAAAAUAAAACUGCUUCAGCAAAACUUUGAUAAAAAUACAUGAUAAUGUAUGUGAUAAUUAAUACAUCUACUUAUUGUAAUAGCUGUGAAUUUCAAUGAAUAUAUAUAGGAAGUAAAAAAAAUAGUGUUUGUCUAUUUAAAUGUGUCUUUAUAUUUAUGUCAUAUAUAGUAUAAUGCUAGAUGUUAACUGUUGUUAAUUUUUAAAAUUGAAUUUGAUGGUAAUUGUUAAGUCUGUAAAAAAUAUCAUUUAUAAAAGUUAUAAUGAAGAUAUAUUGCGUAUUUUUAUAUGUUUAAAUUUGUUCCAUGUCAUGAGCUUUGUAAAAAUUGUAAAAUGAUGCACAUAGUUUUAGUGAUUUAUGCAAAAGAGACCCUAUAAUAAUAUUAUUUGCUGUAGUGUUGCUUGUUAUUUAAGCUUUGUCAGCUUAAUCUUAAAAUAAACUUCUUACGUUGGAAAAACUAAUUAAAUUUUAAUGAAAAGUUAAUUUUAAGAAAUAUGUUUCAAAAGUUAUGAAAUUAAUUAAGCCAAUAUAAAUAUUUUUAAGUAUAUUAGAUAUCAUUUUUUUGCAUUAUGAUUGAGGCAAUUUCGAAGGUUUUUUGAUGCAGUUUUAAUUUUGAAUGAAAAAAGCGAAAUUAGUUGUAAUUUAAAAAUUUAUUACUGUAUCUGCUGUUUUAAAGUCUAGUUUAUCGAUCAUCAUAUUCCAUUGAAAUAUUCAUAUUUUUUAUUUUUCAUAUGGUUUUGUUGCACAAUGCAUCUCAGAGCUACCCAAAAUUAAAAAGAAAAAAAAAUGUUGAAAUUAAACUUUUAAACCUAAAACCGGUUCUGUAAAUGAAGAGAAUUUGUGGAGCAAGUAGAGAGAUAAAAAAAAUUGAUUGCUAAGGAAAAAGCUCACAAAAAAUGCUAUUUUUAAUCUUUUCAACACAUAAUCUCGGUCUUUAUUUAUAGCAUACCAUUAAGGAUGUUAAGUAAUAGCCUCCCUUGAUAAAUAUUUUUAGUAUCAUUGUCACAAAAUAAAAUAAAAAAUUUAUCAUUUAUUUUGCAUUUUCUGAAAAUUUAUAGUUGAUUUGCGUGUUUGAAUUUCUUCAGGAAUUCGAGAUUUUUAAGAAAUUACAAAGUUUUUUAAUAUGCUGUUUUAAAAAUUCAUACAGAGUUGUUUAACGUGUUGUAUAUUAGAUAACAUCAGAGAACUUUUUCUAACCAUUAAUACCUCAGAAACUACUCGUCCUAUUUUAUGAGAUUAUAUACAAUUUAAUCAAUAUGGACUUUACAUCCUCAUUUUGUUAAAAAAAAAGUUUUUAGAACGUAUUAUGCUACAUGGAAUUCGUCUAUUCAUAAGAUAGUUUAAAUCCAAAUAACAAUUAGAUAAUUUCUGCUAUAUGGAAGCAAUUCGAUUUUUAAAAAAAAAUUUCUUGCAAAAGAUAUCACAGUUUAGCGUUAAUGAUUUAAAUGGGAUCAAUAACUUUUGCUUUAUCGUUUCAAUUAGAUUUUUAAAAUAAAGUUUUCUAGUAAAAGAUAUUACAGUUUGACUUUUGGCCCGUUUUGCCAUACUCUGUAAAGGUUGCAGUAACUUUUUAGGAAGAUCGAUUUUCGAGAAAUUCAUUUUAUCUCAUUAUUUUACUAGCUGUAAGUUUUUAGAAAAUGAAACAUUUAUAGCGCUUCUUCCUUAAUGUAUACAAUUUUUUAGAAAUAACUAUCCUUUUUAAUCCAAGUCAGCUUGCUGAAUAGCGAAUGAGAACAAAUGAUAUAAAUAAAGUAAGUUUCAAUUUCAUAUGCCAAUACUGACAGAACUUUUGUAACAAUGCAAAGUUUAUGUUUAAAUAUUUUUUUUCACGUCUCUUUAUUUAUAUUCCUAAUACUCCUGUUUUCACUUAUUUUAUUUUUGAAUAUUAUUGAAGCAUAUAUAAAGUACAGUGAUCCAAAAAAAAGUAUUUCCCUAACUAAUUCACACUUAAUAGCAAUCUAAGGCAAUGAAAAAGACGCACUCUAAAUAUGCAAAUUAAUUAUUCUUAGUAUCUAAAUAGGCAUUUUUAUCAUCUAUCUAAAACACUACAGGGAAGUCUUGCUGUUCUCCUUUGAUGUUAUUGCGGAGCGUAAUUAUUUCUUUUUCUUUUUAAAAAAAAUAUUUACUCUUUAAUGAAUUACUUCAUUGAAUUCGGCGUGAUCUGUCUUCAAAGAAUUCAAACAUUUUAAUUUUAGCCAACAAAUUAGUGCUCCGAUACUUUGUGCACUCAAAUCCCUCGAUGCAUAGUGCACCCAAACCCUUCGAUGCAUAGUACACCUUCUUUCUUAACAAAAAAAACAACAAAAAAUUUGUAAAUGGGCCCAAGAUUUUUCCGAUUUGAGAAAUUAACCAACUAAAAAAAUUUUUUCUUCUUCUGGAGAAAAUGUCUCUUAGUCUGUCAUUAACACGUAUUCAUAACAAAAAUUAAUUACUUAGGUAUACUUAAAGUACAUCAUUUGAAGCAUUGAAGUUACAACUGAAUAUAUGGAAAUCCGUUGCUUAAAUCAAAGGUUAUUUAGGGUAGUACUUUUUUAUAGAUUUGUACUGUUAGUUAACAAAUAGGAAGAAAUAAUUUUUGCACACUUGGCGAUAAUAAUAAUCUGUAAAUAAUUACUGCCUGUUGCAAAUAACUUAUUGCAAAUCUGAAAAAUAAAAUGUUAAAUGCACAAGUUUUUCUAUUCAUCUUCUUUAUGGUCACCUGCAAUUAUUUGUAGCCUUUAUCAAUCAAUAAAAGCUGUAAGCUAUCAGUAUAUUAUGUUUAUAAAUAUAGUUUAUAAACAUUUUGUCCCUGUUACAAAUAACUUGUAA